Molecule: ribosomal RNA, 1071 nt
Filed under: Cordyceps bifusispora
Lineage: Eukaryota; Fungi; Ascomycota; Sordariomycetes; Hypocreales; Cordycipitaceae
Description: SSU rRNA
Rfam family: Eukaryotic small subunit ribosomal RNA
Source: RNAcentral
GCAUUAUACAGCGCAAACUCGCGAAUGGCUCAUUAUAUAAGUUAUCGUUUAUUUGAUAGUACCUUACUACUUGGAUAACCGUGGUAAUUCUAGAGCUAAUACAUGCUAAAAAUCCCGACUUCGGAAGGGAUGUAUUUAUUAGAUUAAAAACCAAUGCCCUCUGGGCUCCUUGGUGAUUCAUGAUAACUCUUCGAAUCGCACGGCCUUGCGCCGGCGAUGGUUCAUUCAAAUUUCUUCCCUAUCAACUUUCGAUGUUUGGGUAUUGGCCAAACAUGGUUGCAACGGGUAACGGAGGGUUAGGGCUCGACCCCGGAGAAGGAGCCUGAGAAACGGCUACUACAUCCAAGGAAGGCAGCAGGCGCGCAAAUUACCCAAUCCCGAUUCGGGGAGGUAGUGACAAUAAAUACUGAUACAGGGCUCUUUUGGGUCUUGUAAUUGGAAUGAGUACAAUUUAAAUCCCUUAACGAGGAACAAUUGGAGGGCAAGUCUGGUGCCAGCAGCCGCGGUAAUUCCAGCUCCAAUAGCGUAUAUUAAAGUUGUUGUGGUUAAAAAGCUCGUAGUUGAACCUUGGGCCUGGCUGGCCGGUCCGCCUCACCGCGUGCACUGGUCCGGCCGGGCCUUUCCCUCUGUGGAACCCCAUGCCCUUCACUGGGCGUGGCGGGGAAACAGGACGUUUACUUUGAAAAAAUUAGAGUGCUCCAGGCAGGCCUAUGCUCGAAUACAUUAGCAUGGAAUAAUGAAAUAGGACGCGUGGUUCUAUUUUGUUGGUUUCUAGGACCGCCGUAAUGAUUAAUAGGGACAGUCGGGGGCAUCAGUAUUCAAUUGUCAGAGGUGAAAUUCUUGGAUUUAUUGAAGACUAACUACUGCGAAAGCAUUUGCCAAGGAUGUUUUCAUUAAUCAGGAACGAAAGUUAGGGGAUCGAAGACGAUCAGAUACCGUCGUAGUCUUAACCAUAAACUAUGCCGACUAGGGAUCGGACGAUGUUAUUUUUUGACGCGUUCGGCACCUUACGAGAAAUCAAAGUGCUUGGGCUCCAGGGGGAGUAUGGUCGCAAGGCUGAAACUUAAAGGA